UUUAAUUAAUUAUACACAUAUCUCUAAUGAGUUAUAAAAGGACAUGUAUUUUCAGGUAACAUUUGCACGAGGACGUUACGAAGACUUAUAGCGUGAACAGCAAAUCUUACACAAUGGGAAAGUUGGCUGUGAUAGGGAUUCUGACUGUAUUUAUAGUUUACAUUGUUGCAGGAAGCAUAAGGAACGAGGAGCCAAAAAAUGAGCCAAACGAUAAUACAAUUGAUUGUUCAAUUGAUGAUAGUAAAGAAGAAUGUGAAAAUGAAGAUGUUGUAAAAUCAGAACGACCUGAAGGUGUGGAAUUUAAAUAACCCAGUGAUACGGGUGGGAUAGUGAUAGUGACGAAUAACAUUCAACUGUUACAUUGAUUUUUUUAAAUAAAAUAAAACAUAACUUAA
Mytilus californianus (California mussel) is the source of this 395-nucleotide long non-coding RNA. RefSeq lists it as uncharacterized. The transcript is spliced from 2 exons. The record is from RefSeq and is a predicted model, not a curated record. NCBI's taxonomy places the organism in Eukaryota, Metazoa, Mollusca, Bivalvia, Mytilida, Mytilidae.